UUGGAGGCAAGUCUGGUGCCAGCAGCCGCGGUAAUUCCAGCUCCAAUAGCGUAUAUUAAAGUUGUUGUGGUUAAAAAGCUCGUAGUUGAACCUUGGGCCUGGCUGGCCGGUCCGCCUCACCGCGUGCACUGGUCCGGCCGGGCCUUUCCCUCUGCGGAACCCCAUGCCCUUCACUGGGUGUGGCGGGGAAACAGGACUUUUACUUUGAAAAAAUUAGAGUGCUCAAGGCAGGCCUAUGCUCGAAUACAUUAGCAUGGAAUAAUAGAAUAGGA
RNAcentral lists this ribosomal RNA (272 nucleotides) under uncultured Ascomycota. Its description in RNAcentral is "partial 18S ribosomal RNA". It matches the Rfam family "Eukaryotic small subunit ribosomal RNA", at positions 548 to 827 of the family's 1831-position model. Lineage: Eukaryota; Fungi; Ascomycota. The record is from RNAcentral.